CAUCGCGCAAGGCUGGUGAAGCGCUCUCCGGGCCCACGUGACUCCUCCCGGGGCCCCGUCAAAAGAAAGGCGGGGAACACCCUGUCGGUUCCUGUUUCUGGCUUUGUGACAAGACCACUCCAGGAAACAAAUGAGCACUCUCCACCUACAGAAGACGAUGCCCAGAGCAGUCUCAUACUCUGCUAUGGAGGAAGAAGACUGGACAUUCAUAAGGUAUUUGUAUAAAUCCAAGAUAUAAAAAGGCCUUGAGAGUAUUCCGUAAACUACUCUGCCAGACGAGAACUACACAGAUGAAAUAACAGAAAACCAGACUGUGUAAAUGUGCAACUGUGAGGUGCAUCACUAAAGAACUAUGGAAGACACAUGGCUAACACAAGAGUACCUGGGGAACAGCAUGGAGGAGACACACAGGUAACAUGAGAAGAUCAAGCAGCGACCCCCAUCCACGGUGUCUCAGUGUCCUCACCCCCAGUUCUUGGGUUUCUGGGGUUUGUUUUUCCAAUUAUUUUU
This is a long non-coding RNA of Arvicola amphibius (Eurasian water vole), 510 nucleotides long. RefSeq lists it as uncharacterized. The record is from RefSeq and is a predicted model, not a curated record. The transcript is spliced from 3 exons. NCBI's taxonomy places the organism in Eukaryota, Metazoa, Chordata, Mammalia, Rodentia, Cricetidae.